AUAAUUAGUCAUAAGCAUUGGAUUGUGACACAUUUUGACCAUAGAAACACUAACAAAGCUGUUUACUGCUUCUAAGCAAUUUUUCGUUGGUUUUAUCCUCUUUUAGGACAAAAUGGGUAUAAGUGUUGUCUAACAACUCUGAAUCCAUCUUUAACUCUUAUAAUUAGUCAAAUGCAUUGGAUUGUGACACAUUUUGAUCAAAGAAACAUUAACAAAGCUAUUGACUGUUUCUAAGCAAUUUUUUGUUGGUUUUAGCCUCUUUUGGGAGGAAAUGAGUAUAAAUAUUGUCUAAAUACUCCUUAUCCUUCUUUAACUCUUCUAAUUAUUCAUGUGCAUUGGAUUUUGACACAUUUUAACCAAGAAACACUAACAAAGCUAUUGACUGCUUCUAAGCAAUUAUUUUGUUGGUUUUAGCCUCUUUUGAAAGAAAAUGGGUGUAAAUGUUGUCUGAACACUCUUAAUCCAUCUCCAACUCCUAUAAUUAGUCAAAUGCAUUGGAUAGUGACACAUUUUGACCAUAGAAAUACUAACAAAGCUAUUUAAUGCUUCUAAGUAAUUUUUUGUUGGUUUUAUCAUCUUUUGGAAGAAAAUGGGUAUAAGUGUUGUUUAAACACUCCUAUUCCAUCUCUAACUCUUAUAAUUAUUCAAAUGCAUUGGAUUGUGACACAUUUUGACCAUAGAAACACUAACAAAGCUGUUUAUUGUU
Molecule: small RNA, 706 nt
Filed under: Arabidopsis thaliana (thale cress)
Lineage: Eukaryota; Viridiplantae; Streptophyta; Magnoliopsida; Brassicales; Brassicaceae
Description: ATSL204730
Source: RNAcentral